This 209-nucleotide unclassified non-coding RNA is filed under the name Hevea brasiliensis (rubber tree). Lineage: Eukaryota; Viridiplantae; Streptophyta; Magnoliopsida; Malpighiales; Euphorbiaceae. The record is from RNAcentral.
AGAUAGGCCAACUGCAAAAGAAGCAAUGGUAAAUCCCUAGUACAUGUACACUUAUUAAUUAAAAAAAAAAAAGAAAGAAGAAAAGAGAAACACUCGACUGCUUUGGUCCAUCCUUGAAGUUAUUAUAUGUGGUGAUUUCAUUUCUGUUGUUCUUAGUCAUUGCUUAACUUGAAAUAUAACACGGUGCCUUGGUAAUUGUUGACUUCCUG